GCAGAGAUACAAGCAUAUUUCCUAAUAUCAUUUAUCAUGUAUACUUAUGUUUUUUGAGCUUAUUAGGUUAGUUUUAGUUAACAAGCCUGACCCAAACUUGGACCUCUCAUAAAAAACUGAAGACAUGGGACUCAGAAUUGAAUCUAGAUCCUUCAAGAUGGUAAGUAGUUGCUUUAUCAUGCUACUUAUGUGCUCAUUCUUUAAUAUACCUAUUUUUAAUAUUAUAUUAAAAAUUAUGCACAUAAGUUUCUAUAUUAUAGCAUACUAUUUUAUUGCUGUAUAUGGUAUGCUCCAACAUACGUAUGUUUUGACUCACAUAAGAUUUCACAGAAUGAUCCAUUUAUGUAAAUUUGGGAUUGCCUAUAUAUUAAAUUAGAGAUUUAUAUAUUUUUAAUAAUAUACAAUCAUUAUUUUAUAAAACUA
This 423-nucleotide long non-coding RNA is filed under the name Androctonus crassicauda. The record is from RNAcentral. Lineage: Eukaryota; Metazoa; Arthropoda; Arachnida; Scorpiones; Buthidae.